AAAGCAAAAUUUACAGACAGCAGUUCAUUCCUUGCGGUAUGCCUUUCUAAAGACAUCUUCCAUCCAGUAGGUAAGAC
This is a long non-coding RNA of Felis catus (domestic cat), 77 nucleotides long. It matches the Rfam family "Deleted in lymphocytic leukemia 2 conserved region 3". Lineage: Eukaryota; Metazoa; Chordata; Mammalia; Carnivora; Felidae. The record is from Rfam.